GCAGGGCACGGUGGCUUGUGCCUAUAGUCCCAGCUAUACAGGAGGCUGAGGUGGGAGGAUUGCUUGAGCCCAGGACCUCUGGGCUGUAGUGCAUUAUGCCAAUUGGGUGUCUGCACUAAAUUCGGCAUCAAUAUGAUGACCUCCCAGGAGCAGGGGACCACCAGGUUGCCCAAGGAGGGAACUGGCCCAGGUCAGAAAUGGAGCAGGUCAAAACUCCCGUGCUGAUCAACAGUGGGAUCGUGCCUGUGAACAGCCACUGCACUCCAGCUUGGGCAACAUGGCGAGAACUCAUCUCU
RNAcentral lists this signal recognition particle RNA (296 nucleotides) under Cebus imitator (Panamanian white-faced capuchin). RNAcentral describes it as "Metazoan signal recognition particle RNA (ENSCCAG00000009457.1)". It matches the Rfam family "Metazoan signal recognition particle RNA". Rfam says of the family: The signal recognition particle (SRP) is a universally conserved ribonucleoprotein. Lineage: Eukaryota; Metazoa; Chordata; Mammalia; Primates; Cebidae. The record is from RNAcentral.